GCCCCAGUGACCGAGUGGACAUAGGUACCGGUCUUCUAAACCGGCUUACGCAGGUUCGAAUCCUGCCUGGGGCG
This 74-nucleotide transfer RNA is filed under the name Actinomycetota bacterium. RNAcentral's name for it is "tRNA-Arg". It matches the Rfam family "tRNA". Rfam says of the family: Transfer RNA (tRNA) molecules are approximately 80 nucleotides in length. Their secondary structure includes four short double-helical elements and three loops (D, anti-codon, and T loops). Lineage: Bacteria; Bacillati; Actinomycetota. The record is from RNAcentral.